UUUCAGUGGCCAUUUUCACAUGUAGCACUGACUGGAUUGCAAAAUCCAAUUCGGUGCUCAUGUGAAGGUGACUUCUGCUUGC
RNAcentral lists this microRNA precursor (82 nucleotides) under Nicotiana tabacum (common tobacco). Its description in RNAcentral is "miR6145a stem-loop (nta-MIR6145a)". Lineage: Eukaryota; Viridiplantae; Streptophyta; Magnoliopsida; Solanales; Solanaceae. The record is from miRBase by way of RNAcentral.